Molecule: long non-coding RNA, 392 nt
Organism: Parus major (Great Tit)
Lineage: Eukaryota; Metazoa; Chordata; Aves; Passeriformes; Paridae
Exons: 2
Source: RefSeq, a predicted model, not a curated record
UUCAUUUCCAGCCCUGCAGAACCGUGCGCAGCAGAGCCUGUGAAGUGCUGUCCUCUCGCCUCCUUCCACGUGGAGAGCUUUCUUAAUGAAGAGUUAAGAGACCUCAGGGACCAGAUGCAACUCGGUGAUGGAAACAGUUGCACAAUAGAGUGCUUGAUUAAUGCCUUCUGACUUUUCCAGGAGUUGAAGUCCUCCAGACAAAGCAAGCUUGGCUUGACUGCAGGGGGAAGGGAAGGCAAGAGGAGAGGAAUCUUCACUGGUUUGUCCUGCCAUGGAAAACCAAGCUCUGUCAGAAUUUGUGAAACACUUGUCUUCCUGGAAAGAAAAAGAAGUUGUUAAAGUCUAACUGUGGUUGUUUUUUACAUAAACCAUCCCUGGCACCUUCAAAAAUA